RNAcentral lists this ribosomal RNA (1353 nucleotides) under Triticum aestivum (bread wheat). RNAcentral's name for it is "partial small subunit ribosomal RNA". Lineage: Eukaryota; Viridiplantae; Streptophyta; Magnoliopsida; Poales; Poaceae. The record is from RNAcentral.
AUGGCUCAGCCCGAGACGGCCCUCUCUCCUCACUCUCUCUCAUUCUUUCUGCCUCGAUUGUCUCAAAAAAAAUAUAUUCUUUCUGCCUCGAGCCCUCACCCUGUCUCCAGCACCGCCGCCGCCGACCAAUCCCGGCACGCUCCGCCGCCUUUCUGCACACCCACAGCUGCGGCCACCGCUGGGACUUCGUUGUUCCAGGUCGCCGCCGCGCGUGGCCGUCGUCCCCGCGCCGGCGCGAUCCUCUCCUUCACCUCCGCGGCCGCGGCCGCCCCGUCGUCUUCGUCCCAAGGGUAAUUCAUUCAGAGCCAGCGCAAGGAGGAGCACAGGCUGGACUGGUGCUACCUGCUGGACGAGGACAACCGCCACAUCUUCCUCCACGAGCUACACCCCCUCCUCGCCCAGGCCCAGCAGACCACCACCACCGGCAGCAGCAACAAUGCCUGUGUCGUCGCGUGCGGCGCCGCCGCCGCCAAGGACCACCUCUUCAAGGGGUCGCAGGACCAGCCGGGCCUGGUCACCAUCGCAAUGGAGGAGAUCCUCCAGUUCGCUGCAUCCAUCAGCGGUGCCGUCAAGGUCUCAUCCUACCUGGUGGUCCAGGACACCCACAUCUUUGAUCUGCUGGAGCCCAAGGAGCAAGAGGUUCUGGUGCUGGAUGAUGCCCAGGGGAAGACCCAUCUCAAGGGCCUGUCCAAGGUUCAUGUGAAGUCAAUUGAGGAUUUUUUGCAGUUGGGUUGUUUUGAUGGAAACCAGGACAAGCAGCAACCCGCUAAACCUUUUUCUACCCAGCAGCGACCAACUAAAGCUUCUUCUACCCAGCUACCCACCAAGGGGCAUCAAGGGCUCAUAUCUAGCUCUGAUCAGGACGGCAAAGAACGUGCUGUGGCCAAGAUUAACUUUCUCAGCCUCACAGACUAUGUAGAUCCCAAGCAGAAAACUGGCAGUGCUCUGUCGAGCAACAAGACCAUGUACACCUUGAUGAAUGUCGUGCAAGCGCUCAACAGCAACCAGAACUUUGUGCCCUAUAGGCAGAGCAAAGUUACUCGUAUUUUGCAGGAUUCUUUGUGCAAGACGAGCGGGGCUGUGGUGAUCGCCUGCUUGGAAGAAGUUUCCUGCCAAGAUACAAUCUCUACUCUUAGCUUGGCCGCACGCUCUAGUCAAGCGGCUAAUGAGCAAUGCCGCAGAUCCGUAAGUGUUACAAGUUUCAAAAGAGCAGGUGUUAACUCAUCUGCAGUUGCUAAAAGCUCCUCAAGGCCAAUUCUUUCUUCUAUGCACCAACCAAAUCCCGUGGCAGGGAAGCAGGAUCUGCCCCAAUGGAAUGUGGGCGUAGUAAAAGCAAUUGACAAUAAGAGGUAG